Non-coding RNA from Corythoichthys intestinalis (scribbled pipefish), 82 nucleotides. Lineage: Eukaryota; Metazoa; Chordata; Actinopteri; Syngnathiformes; Syngnathidae. The record is from the annotation of a RefSeq genome assembly.
GGUAGUGUGGCCGAGCGGUCCAAGGCGCUGCAUUCAGGUUCCAGUCUCUCAGGGGGCGUGGGUUCUAAUCCCACCACUGCCA